AUACUGCAGAAUAAUUGGGAGAAAGAUCAGAUGAAUUUACACCGUUAGAUCAAAUAUAUUGGUAGUAUAUACUUCAAGUAGAAUGUAUCUUAAAAGUCCUCUAACGGCUUGUUUGGUUGGAGGGAGUUUUGAAUAAGGAAAUGGGAGUUUAGGAGAUUGAGCUUUUUAAUCUCUAGUUUGAUUAGAGGACUUGGGAAUUUUAGAGGGACUGGCAUAGAGAAUUAAUCUAUCCAACUCCCACCGAUCCCAUCCCUGGGGACCUGUUAAUUCACGAGACUUGGUGGGAAUUAAACAGCAGAAGUCCGAAAUACCCCUCUCCCGCACACUCCGCCGUCCAUUGCCGCGAAAAGGAAUAAAAACGCGCGAAAAAUCCUGUUCACUGCCGCGAGGAGGAGUAAAAACGCGCGAAAAAUCCCCAUCUCAGCGCCACUUUCCUCGCCCACUCCGUUGGCCACCACGAGAAGCAAUAAAUCCUGUGAAAUAUCACCAGCGAUUCUCCCCAUUCACACGCGAAACCACAGCCAAGGUUAGGUUCUGACGCAAGUUUGUUGUGUUCUUGAAAACUCUCCCUCUUUCUCCCUCUCUCCUGUACAGAUCGAGACCACAGCCUCAUGAGAUCGAUGGAAGCAGCUUUGUAAGGGGAAAAGGUGGGGGGGGGGGGGGAAAAGGUGGUUCUGAUCUGCUGUUCGUACUUCUACGUCUGUUGUUGCUCAAGGCUGAUUUUUUUGUAGUUUUGCUCUGCAGUUUAUCACACCAAAAGCUGUAGGUACUGAUGUUAUUCUGUUCUCUAUUUUUUUUUCAUCAGUCGAUUGCCUUGUUUGAUUUUCCAAGACAGAUCAAUCAGAUUUGGUAUUUUAGUAUUAAUGGUAGUAGGCAUUUUCCCAGUGUAUAGAGUAGACCUGUUCUUAAUUUUUUUUUCAUCAGUCGAUUGCCUUUAUAGAUUUUCCAAUAUAGAUCAAUUCGAUUUCAUAUUUUAGUAUUAAUGGUAGUAGGCAUUUAAUCUGCUAUAGAAUGACACAUAGUGUAUUCGUCAAUUUCAUACGUGAUACAUACAGAAUGGAGGGGGAUAUGAUCAGUAUCAAAAUUCAUCAUGGGGGAUCUUUUUCAAAGGAGGGUCAACUUUGCUAUGUUGGAGGCCAAGUCUCUAUUUUUCGCAAUUGUGACAGCGAAAGGAUGUCAUACUUUUGUCUAGUAGACAUGGCUAAAGAUGUAGGUUUCAAGGGUGGAGAUGAACUAUUCUAUGCUAUCCCUGGUUAUAGUCUUGAAAAUGGAAUCGACAAACUUCAUGAUGAUCAUUCAGUUCGUAAAAUGUUGAAUUUUGCAAAGAAAGGCAAGUCAAUGGAAAUUUAUAUUAAGCAUCUUGAAUAAGGUGUAAGUGCUACUCCAAUAUUUGGACAGGAUGUUGAAGAUAAUCAUGUGGAGGAGGUACUGUACUUAGAAACAACUUUUCUUUUCCUUC
Non-coding RNA from Oryza sativa Japonica Group (Japanese rice), 1459 nucleotides. Lineage: Eukaryota; Viridiplantae; Streptophyta; Magnoliopsida; Poales; Poaceae. The record is from RefSeq and is a predicted model, not a curated record.